RNAcentral lists this ribosomal RNA (253 nucleotides) under uncultured bacterium. Its description in RNAcentral is "partial 16S ribosomal RNA". It matches the Rfam family "Bacterial small subunit ribosomal RNA", at positions 524 to 776 of the family's 1533-position model. The record is from RNAcentral.
UACGUAGGGUCCAAGCGUUAAUCGGAAUUACUGGGCGUAAAGCGUGCGUAGGCGGAUUCGCAAGUCCGAUGUGAAAUCCCCGGGCUUAACCUGGGAACUGCGUUGGAAACUACGAAGCUAGAGUGCGGCAGAGGGGGGUGGAAUUCCAGGCGUAGCAGUGAAAUGCGUAGAGAUCUGGAGGAACACCGAUGGCGAAGGCAGCCCCCUGGGCUAGCACUGACGCUCAUACACGAAAGCGUGGGGAGCAAACAGG